RNAcentral lists this ribosomal RNA (169 nucleotides) under uncultured bacterium. Its description in RNAcentral is "partial 16S ribosomal RNA". It matches the Rfam family "Bacterial small subunit ribosomal RNA", at positions 338 to 504 of the family's 1533-position model. The record is from RNAcentral.
CCUACGGGAGGCAGCAGCGAGGAAUAUUGGUCAAUGGGUGCAAGCCUGAACCAGCCAUCCCGCGUGAAGGACGACUGCCCUAUGGGNUGUAAACUUCUUUUGUAUAGGGAUAAACCUACCCUCGUGAGGGUAGCUGAAGGUACUAUACGANUAANCACCGGCUAACUAC